AUUGAACGCUGGCGGCAGGCUUAACACAUGCAAGUCGAACGAGUGGCGGACGGGUGAGUAAUGUCUGGGAAACUGCCCGAUGGCGGUGGGUAACUACUGGAAACGGUAGCUAAUACCGCCUACCAUCGGAUGUGCCCAGAUGGGAUUGGCUAGUAGGUGGGGUAACGGCUCACCGGGGCGACGAUCCCUAGCGGGUCGGAGAGGGUGACCAGCCACACUGGAACUGAGACACGGUCCAGAGUCCUACGGGAGGCAGCAGUGGGGAAUAGUGCACAAUGGGCGCAAGCCUGAUGCAGUCAUGCCGCGUGUAUGAAGAAGGCCUUCGGGUUGUAAAGUACUUUCAGCGAGGAGGCGUUACGCGCAGAAGAAGCACCGGCUAACUACGUGCCAGCCGCCGCGGUAAUUC
RNAcentral lists this ribosomal RNA (406 nucleotides) under uncultured bacterium. Its description in RNAcentral is "partial 16S ribosomal RNA". It matches the Rfam family "Bacterial small subunit ribosomal RNA", at positions 29 to 526 of the family's 1533-position model. The record is from RNAcentral.